GUUAGCCCCAGUUAGCCCCAGUUCAAGGAUGCUGUUUUUAAAUAUGUGAGUAUGUUCUUAUUGCCUGGUGCCUAUGCCCGAGGACAGUUAAAUACAGCAUCACUUCCAGUGGUCCAGGAAGGCCUCUUCAAAGAGGUAACAGUUAAGGCUGAGUCUAAAAGCAUAAGAAAUAACCACUACUGAGGAGCAGCACUGAGGAAACAACCGGCGGAGAGAGGAGCACAUACCAAUUGCCGCUGCACAUCUGAGCUUAAAAUGCUCAAGUGUGAGUACAGCAGAGGCAGUCAAGGUGGCAGGAUUGGUAAGGUCUUGCCACACAGGACACAGCAACACCUCUGUUUGUUCAGGAUUUCAGAACUUGCAAGGGUUCCACUGGAAGCAUUGUCUUCCGCAAUGGAUGUGGGAAAGAAACUAGUGCUUGCAGACAAGAAAAAGGAGAUUUUGAGUGUCCACUGAAGAACCACAAGGUUCAUUAAUUUGGAGAAGUGAGCUUUAUUUCUUAUAAAGGGUUGUAGCCUGCAGGCUGGCCAUCGUGCAGGCUGGGAAUCGUAGCCUCCAGCAGAGACCAGAAGCAGGCACUUCGAAGAGGGAAGGAGAGACAGCAACUUUUGCAGAAUCCAUUGGCUAAGUAUACAUAUUCAAUAGGCUAUAGGAGAAGCUAUGAGUAUUCAUGAAUGAGGGUGUGCACAUGCAUAGUAAGUUAACAUUUGUGUUACAUAUGUCCCAUGGUCACUUUGGGGUGGAGACUUAACAUUUAGAUGUAGUACAAUCAGGCCCUGUACAUCAAAAGGUGAAGCAGAGGACACAAAGCUGCUCCAUGCACAACCUCCAUAAACUAACCAGAACUAUCCCAUGGUGGGUGGUCUCUCAUCAGGAAGGAAUGCUGGUCAGUUGUUAUGUUAAAACUGCAAAAGAGAGGGGAGUCUGAUGAAAUCAGUGGUGGAGACUUUCAAAAGGGCUGGUUUCUGUUUAAUCCCUAGGAAAGAAAACCUAAUCGUGGUUAGCAAGGUAGGGGGUAAAAUGAGGCAUGUCUGAGCUCCCAUCCAUCAUGGUUGGGAACUCGGUUUUUAAGGUUUCUCUGGGGUUAGGUAGGAAACUUAGGAUUUUAUUUUUAUAUCUUACAAGUUAAAGAGACACGGGACAUCGCAGGUCAGGAGAUCCAGUAAGUAUUA
Molecule: long non-coding RNA, 1172 nt
Filed under: Macaca fascicularis (crab-eating macaque)
Lineage: Eukaryota; Metazoa; Chordata; Mammalia; Primates; Cercopithecidae
Description: lncRNA (ENSMFAG00000049749.1)
Source: RNAcentral